Molecule: ribosomal RNA, 490 nt
Filed under: uncultured bacterium
Lineage: Bacteria
Description: partial 16S ribosomal RNA
Rfam family: Bacterial small subunit ribosomal RNA
Source: RNAcentral
AUUGAACGCUGGCGGUAGGCUUAACACAUGCAAGUCGAGCGGUAGCACAGGGGGGGUUGCUUCUUGGGUGACGCGCGGCGGGCGGGUGUGUAGUGUACGGGGAACUGUCUGUUGGCGGGGGAUAAAUACUGGAGACGGUAGCUAAUAUCGCAUAACGUCGCAAGAGCAGAGAGGGGGGGAUUUUGGCACCUUGCGCUCAUGUGUGCGCAGAUGGGAUUAGCUAGUAGGUGGGGUAAUGGCUCACCAAGGCGACGAUCUCUAGCUGGUCUGAGAGGAUGACCAGCCACACUGGAACUGAGACACGGUCCAGACUCCUACGGGAGGCAGCAGUGGGGAAUAUUGCACAAUGGGCGCAAGCCUGAUCCAGCCAUGCCGCGUGUGUGAAGAAGGCCUUCGGGUUGUAAAGCACUUUCGGCGAGAAGGAAAGUCAUCAGCUUAAUACGUUCAUCAUUUGACGGUACUCACAGAAGAAGCACCGGCUAACUUCGUG